RNAcentral lists this ribosomal RNA (770 nucleotides) under bacterium SRU_35. RNAcentral's name for it is "bacterial SSU rRNA". It matches the Rfam family "Bacterial small subunit ribosomal RNA", at positions 94 to 849 of the family's 1533-position model. The record is from RNAcentral.
AGUGGCGGACGGGUGAGUAAUGUCUGGGAAACUGCCUGAUGGAGGGGGAUAACUACUGGAAACGGUAGCUAAUACCGCAUAACGUCGCAAGACCAAAGAGGGGGACCUUCGGGCCUCUUGCCAUCGGAUGUGCCCAGAUGGGAUUAGCUAGUAGGUGGGGUAACGGCUCACCUAGGCGACGAUCCCUAGCUGGUCUGAGAGGAUGACCAGCCACACUGGAACUGAGACACGGUCCAGACUCCUACGGGAGGCAGCAGUGGGGAAUAUUGCACAAUGGGCGCAAGCCUGAUGCAGCCAUGCCGCGUGUAUGAAGAAGGCCUUCGGGUUGUAAAGUACUUUUCAGCGAGGAGGAAGGCAUUAUGGUUAAUAACCGCAGGCGAUUGACGUUACUCGCAGAAGAAGCACCCGGCUAACUCCGUGCCAGCAGCCGCGAGUAAUACGAGAAGGGUGCAAGCGGUUAAUCGGAAAUUACUGGGCGUAAAGCGCACGCAGGCGGGUCUUGUCAAGUCGGAUGUGAAAUCCCCGGGCUCAACCUGGGAACUGCAUCCGAAACUGGCAGGCUAGAGUCUUGUAGAGGGGGGUAGAAUUCCAGGUGUAGCGGUGAAAUGCGUAGAGAUCUGGAGGAAUACCGGUGGCGAAGGCGGCCCCCUGGACAAAGACUGACGCUCAGGUGCGAAAGCGUGGGGAGCAAACAGGAUUAGAUACCCUGGUAGUCCAACGCCGUAAACGAUGUCGACUUGGAGGUUGUGCCCUUGAGGCGUGGCUUCCGG